RNAcentral lists this small nucleolar RNA (90 nucleotides) under Arabidopsis lyrata subsp. lyrata. RNAcentral's name for it is "Small nucleolar RNA snoR53Y". It matches the Rfam family "Small nucleolar RNA snoR53Y". Lineage: Eukaryota; Viridiplantae; Streptophyta; Magnoliopsida; Brassicales; Brassicaceae. The record is from Rfam by way of RNAcentral.
GUUCCCUAUGAUGAUUUAAAAUCAAUACCAUGCUAAUGUAUAUCUGAUAAAUUUUUGUAUUUGAUUUAUAAGUGAUUUGCUGAGGGAACA